GACGAACGCUGGCGGCGUGCUUAACACAUGCUAGUCGAACGGAAAGGCCCUGCUUGCAGGGUACUCGAGUGGCGAACGGGUGAGUAACACGUGGGUGAUCUGCCCUGCACUUCGGGAUAAGCUUGGGAAACUGGGUCUAAUACCGGAUAGGACCGCACUUUAGUGUGUGUGGUGGAAAGUUUUUUCGGUGUAGGAUGAGCUCGCGGCCUAUCAGCUUGUUGGUGGGGUAAUGGCCUACCAAGGCGGCGACGGGUAGCCGGCCUGAGAGGGUGUACGGCCACAUUGGGACUGAGAUACGGCCCAGACUCCUACGGGAGGCAGCAGUGGGGAAUAUUGCACAAUGGGCGCAAGCCUGAUGCAGCGACGCCGCGUGGGGGAUGAAGGCCUUCGGGUUGUAAACUCCUUUCGCUAGGGACGAAGCUUUUUGUGACGGUACCUAGAUAAGAAGCACCGGCUAACUACGUG
RNAcentral lists this ribosomal RNA (465 nucleotides) under uncultured bacterium. RNAcentral describes it as "partial 16S ribosomal RNA". It matches the Rfam family "Bacterial small subunit ribosomal RNA", at positions 28 to 507 of the family's 1533-position model. The record is from RNAcentral.